UACGAGAGCCUCGAGCGUUAUCCGGAAUUAUUGGGCGUAAAGGGUGUGUAGGCGGACGUAUUAGUCCUGUGUCAAAGCCUUCCCGCUUAACGGGAAGAUCGCAUGGGAAACGGUACGACUAGGAGGGUGCGAGAGGUGAAUGGAACUCACGGUGUAGGGGUGAAAUCCGUUGAUAUCGUGGGGAACGCCAAAAGCGAAGGCAAUUCACUGGCGCAUACCUGACGCUGAAACACGAAAGCCAGGGUAUCGAAUGGG
Molecule: ribosomal RNA, 255 nt
Filed under: uncultured bacterium
Lineage: Bacteria
Description: partial 16S ribosomal RNA
Rfam family: Bacterial small subunit ribosomal RNA
Source: RNAcentral